Myotis davidii is the source of this 108-nucleotide long non-coding RNA. RefSeq lists it as uncharacterized. NCBI's taxonomy places the organism in Eukaryota, Metazoa, Chordata, Mammalia, Chiroptera, Vespertilionidae. The transcript has 4 exons. The record is from RefSeq and is a predicted model, not a curated record.
CUGAGCUAUUUUUCCUUUUGUGUGUGCUUGUUUUACUUAGCAUAAUAUUUUUAAGGACCACCCAUAUUGUAGCAUGCAUUAGUACUUCACAUGUUUUUAUGGCUGAAU